Molecule: ribosomal RNA, 483 nt
Filed under: uncultured bacterium
Lineage: Bacteria
Description: partial 16S ribosomal RNA
Rfam family: Bacterial small subunit ribosomal RNA
Source: RNAcentral
UUGCACGCUGGCGGCAGGCCUAACACAUGCAAGUCGAGCGGAUGAAGGGAGCUUGCUCCUGGAUUCAGCGGCGGACGGGUGAGUAAUGCCUAGGAAUCUGCCUGGUAGUGGGGGAUAACGUCCGGAAACGGGCGCUAAUACCGCAUACGUCCUGAGGGAGAAAGUGGGGGAUCUUCGGAACUCACGCUAUCAGAUGAGCCUAGGUCGGAUUAGCUAGUUGGUGAGGUAAAGGCCUACCAAGGCGACGAUCCGUAACUGGUCUGAGAGGAUGAUCAGUCACACUGGAACUGAGACACGGUCCAGACGCCUAGGGGAGGCAGCAGUAGCGAAUAUUGGACAAUGGGCGAAAGCCUGAUCCAGCCAUGCCGCGUGUGUGAAGAAGGUCUUCGGAUUGUAAAGCACUUUAAGUUGGGAGGAAGGGCAGUAAGUUAAUACCUUGCUGUUUUGACGUUACCAACAGAAUAAGCCCCGGCUAACUUCGUG